Molecule: long non-coding RNA, 2624 nt
Filed under: Dasypus novemcinctus (nine-banded armadillo)
Lineage: Eukaryota; Metazoa; Chordata; Mammalia; Cingulata; Dasypodidae
Description: lncRNA (ENSDNOG00000050952.1)
Source: RNAcentral
CGCGCCUCCAGGAGGCUCCCUCCCCGCGCCCCGCGCCCGCGCUCGGCCGAGGUCCCUGCGCGCACGCGGACAGGAGCGGCUCUCCUCAGCCUCUCGCGUGUGGACCCGGCCGUCCUGGGCCCCCGACGCCCCCCCAGCGGUGACAAACGAGAUGCCCAGUGUCCCCGGCUGGACACAGCUGAGCUGGGCCGGGGGAUGGAGCGACCAGGAGCCGCUCAGUCCACGAGGCCGCGUGCUCAGAUCGCCCUAACGGAGGGGCAGGUGGACGGCCGGGCAGCUCAGGCCUGGGUCCUCCCAGGACCGCAGCGAGGGGAGUCCUGCGCCGGGGAGGGGCGCGCGCAGGCGCAGAGCGACAGCGCCGUGCUCCGCGGGGGCCUCACGCUCUGGUUUGGCUUCAUGUUUCCUGGACCAACAGUUGGUGGGACUUUUAUGGAAAGAUUUAGAGUUGAGGAUACAAGAGGCCUUUUAUUCCCUCCAAACCCUGUAAUUCUGUGGCUAACUAUUAGUAUUUUUUAACAAAACUUUCUACAAACUCAAUGAUCUUGUGAAAAUAAUGUUACUGUACUAUUGGCAGAAGAUUCAAAUUAAGUAGAUUAAAAAGCUACAUAAAUAAAAGUAUAUGUACUAUGUGUGUAAAAAGCUCAAAACCAGGGAGACGGAAGCAGCUCAAGAGCCCCAGAGGCAGCUGUGGAGCAGGGCUGGCGGCCGUCCCGGGAGUCCGGACCCCUGCACGCAGGCCGGGGCCUUGUUUGGAAAAGGGUCAUCCCAGGUGGGGUGAGGCGAGCUAAAAUGGAGCCAGUGAAGGAGGCCGGCCUGAAUCAAGCAGGGACUGUGCCCGGGGAAGAGGGAAUUUGGACCCAGAGAGAAGGCAGAGCUGCUCUCGGGGCUUCUCCCGCAGCGCGGCCCGCGCGCGCUCGCUUCAGGCUGUCUCCAGAGCUGCGGGACGACCUCUGCUGUUUCAAGUCGCCGGCGAGAGCGCUUCCUGGGGCAGCCCUGGAGAGGGAAGGCAAGCACGGGUUUUACCAUUGCUGCCCCCCACAUCUGGCCCAGCCUGAAGGGGCGCCAGGGAAACAAGAACCUACUCAUCUGACGGGGCGGUGGUCUCAAGGAAGUCUCAGGAGGUUGCCUCAUGGGUGCUUCUGUUUUGCAGUCUUUCUUCCUGAUCUCUUGGACGUGUAGAUAGAUAACUGGGAAUAUUCUUUAAAAACAUAAGCAUGUGCACUGGAGCAUGAAAGAGACUCCAUGGAAUGCUGGUCAUACGAGGCACCUGCAGGAGACUAAGGCAGUGAAGGGGACGUGGCCCCGGCAAGGAAGGGGCGACCAGCAGACCUGGAGCCACGGGUCCGUGUUCAUUCCAUCAACAGCACCCGCGUUAGUACUCACCUUCUCAAGGGAGUCUCCCCCAAAGCCAGCGUCCUUCUCAGUCCCUCCACGGUUUUGACCCACAGUUAUCCAUCUGGUCAACACGUUUAUAGGUAAACUAUCUUGACUGUUUUAAUUUGUCAUGUGAUCAGAUAAUUAAUAAAAACAUAUGUGUAUUAGCUUCCAGCUUCCAAAGCAAACACCACGCAGUGGGUUGGCUUGACGACAGGAGCUUACUGGUUGCUCCUUCGGGCUGGUGUCCCCGGCAGCGGCUGGCUUGGGCUCCCUGCUUGCUGUCCCGUGGCCGUGCACACGCUCUUCUCCAGCUCCCAGCCCAACCCGCGGUCCUGCUUUCUGUGGUCUUCUCUAGGAGGCCUCCAGAAACAGAUGAGGACCCACCAGAUCCAGCAGGCCCCACCCGCCCCGCGAAAACCCAUCAAAACGGUGACAAGCGCGGCUGUUGCUGGCUUUGGUGGUGGUUGCUUUGUUUCUGUUUUAAGAAUUUACCACAGCUCAGAUUUAUCUUGGACUGUAGAAACUGGAAACAGAAAACAAUAGAACUGAAAGGGUCAUGAGCUUUCCUUUGUGUUUCUUGGGGGAGACAUUAAAUAUACUAACAUAUUUCCCAAAGACCAUCCCUAGGGGCCUGCGGUAUCCAAGUGAAGAGUAGCAAGGUCUCUGGAACAGGAAUCAUCAAAACAUGCUACAAUGUACAGAAGGCACAGCUAAUAGCUAAGGAGAGCAGUAUAAAACACACUGAACACAUAUACAUCACUAUGUACAUGUACACGUGUAUAUUGCACAUGCAUUAUUUACAUAACACAAAAAUCACAAAUGCUGUAUUUGUUGUUAUAUGCUUUUCAUAUAUAUAAUAAAUUUAUAUUGUAUUGCAUUGCUUGGUUCAACCUCUACAAAAACAGAAUGAUGGGAUUUCUGCAUAUUUAUUAAGAUUUGUGUUUUAGUAUUAAACAGAAGACUCAGUAUAUUUGCAUGAAUAAUAUUUAGAAAAAUAGUGUAGCCAUUUUGCUAUGAGGGUGCAAUUUAGGGACAUUUUCCAAGAGCAGCCUUUUGUCAACAGUUCAUACAUACUCUGAGAAGCAACAUCUACUUUUUUUUGGUCUUUAUUUAUAUUUUUAAUGUUACAUUAAAAAAAAUGAGGUCCCCAUAUACCCCCCACCGCUCUCACCCCACUCCUCCCCCCAUAACAACCACCUCCUCCAUCAUCAUGAGACAUUCAUUGGUGAAUACAUCUCUGAGCACCG